This 521-nucleotide ribosomal RNA is filed under the name uncultured Fusobacteriota bacterium. Its description in RNAcentral is "bacterial SSU rRNA". It matches the Rfam family "Bacterial small subunit ribosomal RNA", at positions 107 to 642 of the family's 1533-position model. Lineage: Bacteria; Fusobacteriati; Fusobacteriota. The record is from RNAcentral.
UGAGUAACGCGUAAAGAACUUGCCUUACAGACUGGGACAACAUUUGGAAACGAAUGCUAAUACCGGAUAUUAUGAUUGGGUCGCAUGAUCUGGUUAUGAAAGCUAUAUGCGCUGUGAGAGAGCUUUGCGUCCCAUUAGUUAGUUGGUGAGGUAACGGCUCACCAAGACGAUGAUGGGUAGCCGGCCUGAGAGGGUGAACGGCCACAAGGGGACUGAGACACAGCCCUUACUCCUACGGGAGGCAGCAGUGGGGAAUAUUGGACAAUGGACCAAAAGUCUGAUCCAGCAAUUCUGUGUGCACGAAGAAGUUUUUCGGAAUGUAAAGUGCUUUCAGUUGGGAAGAAGUCAGUGACGGUACCAACAGAAGAAGCGACGGCUAAAUACGUGCCAGCAGCCGCGGUAAUACGUAUGUCGCAAGCGUUAUCCGGAUUUAUUGGGCGUAAAGCGCGUCUAGGCGGCUUAGUAAGUCUGAUGUGAAAAUGCGGGGCUCAACCCCGUAUUGCGUUGGAAACUGCUAAACU